This 253-nucleotide ribosomal RNA is filed under the name uncultured bacterium. Its description in RNAcentral is "partial 16S ribosomal RNA". It matches the Rfam family "Bacterial small subunit ribosomal RNA", at positions 524 to 776 of the family's 1533-position model. The record is from RNAcentral.
UACGGAGGGGGCAAGCGUUAUUCGGAAUUAUUGGGCGUAAAGGGCGCGUAGGCGGCUAGAUGUGUCAAAGGUGAAAUCCCUCGGCUCAACUGAGGAACUGCCUUUGAAACUGUCGGGCUAGAGUCCGGAAGAGGCGAGUGGAAUUCCUGGUGUAGCGGUGAAAUGCGCAGAUAUCAGGAGGAACACCGAUGGCGAAGGCAGCUCGCUGGGACGGUACUGACGCUGAGGCGCGAAAGCGUGGGGAGCAAACAGG